RNAcentral lists this ribosomal RNA (115 nucleotides) under uncultured bacterium. RNAcentral's name for it is "partial 16S ribosomal RNA". It matches the Rfam family "Bacterial small subunit ribosomal RNA", at positions 1360 to 1482 of the family's 1533-position model. The record is from RNAcentral.
CGGUGAAUACGUUCCCGGGCCUUGUACACACCGCCCGUCAAACAAUGGAAGCUGGGGGUACCUGAAGUCUGUAACCGCUAAGGAGCGGCCUAGGGUAAAACUAGUAACUGGUGUU